GCUUUCCAUGCAAGUCGAACGGCAGCGCGGGGCAACCUGGCGGCGAGUGGCGAACGGGUGAGUAAUACAUCGGAACGUGCCCUGUGAUGGGGGAUAACUACGCGAAAGCGUAGCUAAUACCGCAUACGACCUAAGGGUGAAAGUGGGGGAUCGAAAGACCUCACGUCAUAGGAGCGGCCGAUGGCGGAUUAGCUAGUUGGUGAGGUAAAGGCUUACCAAGGCGACGAUCCGUAGCUGGUCUGAGAGGACGACCAGCCACACUGGGACUGAGACACGGCCCAGACUCCUACGGGAGGCAGCAGUGGGGAAUCUUGGACAAUGGGGGCAACCCUGAUCCAGCAAUGCCGCGUGUGGGAUGAAGGCCUUCGGGUUGUAAACCACUUUUGGCGGGGGCGAAAUAUCGAGUGAUAAUACCAUUCGGUGAUGACAGUACCCGCAGAAUAAGCACCGGCUAACUACGUGCCAGCAGCCGCGGUAAUACGUAGGGUGCAAGCGUUAAUCNGAAUUACUGGGCGUAAAGCGUGCGCAGGCGGUUAAGUAAGACAGAUGUGAAAUUNCCGGGCUCAACCUGGGAACUGCAUUUGUGACUGCUUGACUANAGUGCGGCAGAGGGGGAGUGGAAUUCCGCNUGUAGCCAGUGNNAUGNGUAGAUAUGCCGANGGAACACCGGAUUGCGAAGGCGACUCCCUNGGGGNCUGCACUGACGCUCAUGCACAAAAGCNGUNGGGAGCAAANAGGAUUANANACCCCUGGUAGUCCCGNCCCUAA
This 768-nucleotide ribosomal RNA is filed under the name uncultured bacterium. Its description in RNAcentral is "partial 16S ribosomal RNA". It matches the Rfam family "Bacterial small subunit ribosomal RNA", at positions 46 to 805 of the family's 1533-position model. The record is from RNAcentral.